This 253-nucleotide ribosomal RNA is filed under the name uncultured bacterium. RNAcentral's name for it is "partial 16S ribosomal RNA". It matches the Rfam family "Bacterial small subunit ribosomal RNA", at positions 524 to 776 of the family's 1533-position model. The record is from RNAcentral.
UACGGAGGGGGCUAGCGUUGUUCGGAAUUACUGGGCGUAAAGCGCACGUAGGCGGAUAGUUAAGUCGGGGGUGAAAUCCCGGGGCUCAACCCCGGAACUGCCUUCGAUACUGGCUGUCUGGAGGUCGAGAGAGGUGAGUGGAAUUCCGAGUGUAGAGGUGAAAUUCGUAGAUAUUCGGAGGAACACCAGUGGCGAAGGCAGCCCCCUGGGCCAAUACUGACGCUCAGGCACGAAAGCGUGGGGAGCAAACAGG